AAGCGCGCUUGGAGCAUGGCGACUCGGGCCAAGCGCGCAAGGCUUAGUAGCGGGCGGCCGGCGCCGGGGCCCCCAGCCCAUGCCCUCGGCCCCUCCCGCCGGCCUCCCUGCGCUGCCGCCAGCCCCCCACGCGCGCCCUCUUCCCAGGCAGCGCGGGCCGCGGGCGGUGGCGAGCAGGAACCCGACCCGGUGGCCGGCUUCCUGAGCUGGUGCGGGCGGGUGGGGCUGGAGCUGAGUCCCAAGGUGGCAGUGAGCAGGCAGGGCACAGUGGCCGGCUACGGAAUGGUGGCCCGGGAGAGCGUGCAGCCCGGGGAGCUGCUGUUCGCGGUGCCGCGGGCCGCGCUCUUGUCCCCGCACACCUGCUCUAUCGGCGGCCUCCUGGAGCGAGAGCGAGACGUACUGCAGAGCCAGUCGGGCUGGGUGCCGCUGCUGAUGGCGCUGCUCCACGAACUGCAGGCUCCAGCCUCACCCUGGAGCCCCUACUUUGCGCUCUGGCCCGAGCUGGGCCGUCUGGAGCACCCCAUGUUCUGGCCUGAGGAGGAGCGGCGGCGCUUGCUGCAGGGCACCGGUGUCCCCGAGGCUGUGGACAAGGAUCUGGUCAACAUCCGCGGCGAGUACUACGCCAUCGUGCUGCCCUUCAUGGAAGCCCAUCCAGACCUGUUCGGUCCCAGUGUCCGCUCCCUGGAACUCUAUCGCCAGCUCGUGGCCCUUGUGAUGGCCUAUAGCUUUCAGGAACCCCUGGAGGAAGAAGAGGAGGAAAAGGAGCCAAACUCCCCUUUGAUGGUGCCUGCAGCAGACAUACUAAACCACUUAGCCAAUCACAAUGCCAAUCUAGAGUACUCUGCAGUGAGUGGAUCCCACCUAGUUCUUGUUAUUGCCUUGAUGACUGGGCACCUGAGUCAAGCCAUUGUUGUCACUGGGCUCUGCUUUCCUACUUCUAAAAAUGAGGAUUACCUUCGGAUGGUGGCUACUCGGUCCAUUCCUAAAGGCCAUGAGAUUUUCAACACUUAUGGGCAAAUGGCUAAUUGGCAGCUGAUUCAUAUGUAUGGUUUUGUUGAGCCGUAUCCUGACAACACAGAUGACACAGCUGACAUUCAGAUGGUGACUGUUCGUGAAGCAGCCUUACAGGGAGUGAAAGAGGAAGCUGAAAGGCUCCUCCUAUUUGAGCGCUGGGAUUUCUUAUGCAAAAUGGAGAUGGUAGGGGAAGAGGGGGCAUUCGUGAUUGGACGUGAGGAGGUGCUGACUGAAGAGGAGCUGACCACCACACUCAAGGUACUGUGUAUGCCUGCUGAGGAGUUCAGAGCUUUUAAGAACUGGGAUGUAUGGGGAAAGAAUGAAAGGGAAGAGAACAGCUUGACCAUCACCAGUAUCCCGAAACUCAAAGCAUCGUGGAGACAGCUGCUUCGAGACAGUGUUCUUUUGACCUUACAGACCUACACCACAGACUUAAAAACUGACCAAGAUAUCCUCAGUAACAAGGAGGCCUAUGCCAAACUCAGCUGGAGGGAACAGCAGGCCUUACAGGUUCGCUAUGGACAGAAGAUGAUCUUACAUCAGUUGUUGGCAUUGACAAGUUAGUUCUUGCUGCCUGAAGGAAAAGCAGUAAGAACAUCAUCCUAAGCUGCUGAAAAAGGAAAGUCUGGACCUUUUGCUUUUAUUAAAUACCCAAAGGGAAAGUAGCAAUGGUGUUAACUCUAAAGUGAGGGUGAUUAAAGUAAAGCUAGUCAGCAGACUUGGGCAUCGCUGCUAGUUGUUAUUUAAAGUGACCUUAGGGGGCAUGUAAUAUGGGCUGACCUCCAGCUUAUGAGCUUUCUGCCUGCUUCAUCCUGAGUGCUGGGGCUCUAGGCAUGUGUCAUCAUGGUCAGCAAGAACAAGAGCUUUGAGGGGUGGGGAGGUACUGGGGAUCAAACUCAGAACUUUGUGCUUUUGGGGCAGGCACAGUGCUACUGAGCUAAAUCCCAGGCCCCAAGAACAAGAGCUUUUAUAGCUGUGGUGUUCUUCUAUAGCCAGGUAUUAAUAGCAUGGGCUCUGGGUGAAGACAUGGUUCAAACCUGAGUCUGUUUUGAGAGAAGCCUCCAUUUCCUGGAAAGAAAAGGCUACAUAAUCAGCACUGGGUUGGAGUCACUGGUUGCUGUACUUGUAGCUUCGGUUGUCUAAUCACUCUGAAGUUUGCACUGGGUGGCACAGUUACCAUUCAAGAAGAAACCCAAAGACACUAAGGACAUUCAAACCUCACGCAUAUGAAAUUGUUUAAUUUUGAAACCUUGUCCUCCCUAGCCAUAAAACCUGACUACCAUCAAAGGUAAUGGUAAAUUAGGGCUGGGGAUUUAGCUCAGUGGUUUUGUCGCCUGCUGCGCAAGUGCAAGAACCCAAGUUCGAUCCCCAGUGCCAAAAAAAGUAAUGGUAAAUUAUAACUGAGAUUAAGCUUUAAUACCUAUUUUAAAAGAAAAAUUAUUGGCUGGUGUCUUUAAAUCCAGUAUGACCAUAGAAAACCCAUAGUGGGGUUUGUUGUCGAAAUACUAUAUAAAAGUAAUUUCCUUGUUUAAACACUGCUGACUUAGUGGGAAAGUGUGGUUUAGCCUGAAGUGGGUCUCCCAGUGGUCCUGGGCUCUCUGCAACUCGGCUGUCCACUUUCCUUCACCAGCACUGGCUGCUGCUACCGAGAAAAGGCAUGAUGGACUCACAUGCACAUCUGACUUCACAUUUUCCAAGUAGCAUGAGUGAUGGGGGAGCUUUAAGCCUGGUUUGGAACCAAGGUGCAGAUUUUCCAGCAGGAUCAGAAAGUGGGCACCUUUAGAUCAGCUUUGGGAAAAGGUAAGCAAAGCCCUGUGGGAUCUCAAUGUGAGCCCUUCCCAUGUUCCAACGCAUUCACAUUUUUAAUAAUUUAAGGAUUUUUAAGGUCCUUUACAUUAAAAAAUACCUUGCACAAUAUUUAAACUGUUUUUUGCUAUCCUUUGUGACACUGAGAAUGUCAGAAGACAGGGAGCUGUGCCCCCAGACAAGUGCAUGGCACCAGGUGCCUCUAUGUACUUGCCUCGAAUACAUUUUGUACAGACUCAAUUUCCAGACAAAGGUUUUCUUUUUCAUAUAUUUACACAAUUCAAAGUGAUAUUCACAGCAUGUUCUAAAUUUUGGCCAAGAGUCAAAAAAA
This is a non-coding RNA of Heterocephalus glaber (naked mole-rat), 3151 nucleotides long. The record is from RefSeq and is a predicted model, not a curated record. Lineage: Eukaryota; Metazoa; Chordata; Mammalia; Rodentia; Bathyergidae.